CCUACGGGAGGCAGCAGUGGGGAAUAUUGGACAAUGGGGGGAACCCUGAUCCAGCCAUGCCGCGUGUGUGAAGAAGGCCCUCGGGUUGUAAAGCACUUUCAGUGAGGAAGAACGCCUGGUGGUUAAUACCCAUCAGGAAAGACAUCACUCACAGAAGAAGCACCGGCUAACUCCGUGCCAGCAGCCGCGGUAAUACGGAGGGUGCGAGCGUUAAUCGGAAUUACUGGGCGUAAAGCGCGCGUAGGUGGCUUGAUAAGCCGGUUGUGAAAGCCCCGGGCUCAACCUGGGAACGGCCUCCGGGACUGUCAAGCUAGAGUGCAGGAGAGGAAGGUAGAAUUCCCGGUGUAGAGGUGAAAUGCGUAGAGAUCGGGAGGAAUACCAGUGGCGAAGGCGGCCCUCUGGACUGACACUGACACUGAGGUGCGAAAGCGUGGGUAGCAAACAGGAUUAGAUACCCUUGUAGUC
RNAcentral lists this ribosomal RNA (465 nucleotides) under Vreelandella stevensii. RNAcentral describes it as "partial 16S ribosomal RNA". It matches the Rfam family "Bacterial small subunit ribosomal RNA", at positions 338 to 795 of the family's 1533-position model. Lineage: Bacteria; Pseudomonadati; Pseudomonadota; Gammaproteobacteria; Oceanospirillales; Halomonadaceae. The record is from RNAcentral.